GAAGUUAUUAAGGGCGCACGGUGGAUGCCUUGGCACUAGAAGCCGAUGAAGGACGUUACUAACGACGAUAUGCUUUGGGGAGCUGUAAGUAAGCGUUGAUCCAGAGAUUUCCGAAUGGGGAAACCCAGCAUGAGUUAUGUCAUGUUAUCGAUAUGUGAAUACAUAGCAUAUCAGAAGGCAGACCCGGAGAACUGAAACAUCUUAGUACCCGGAGGAAGAGAAAGAAAAAUCGAUUCCCUGAGUAGCGGCGAGCGAAACGGGAAGAGCCCAAACCAACAAGCUUGCUUGUUGGGGUUGUAGGACACUCUAUACGGAGUUACAAAAGUAUAUAUUAGACGAAUCAUCUGGAAAGUUGAAUCAAAGAAGGUAAUAAUCCUGUAGUCGAAAAUAUAUACUCUCUUGAGUGGAUCCUGAGUACGACGGAGCACGUGAAAUUCCGUCGGAAUCUGGGAGGACCAUCUCCUAAGGCUAAAUACUCUCUAGUGACCGAUAGUGAACCAGUACCGUGAGGGAAAGGUGAAAAGUACCCCGGAAGGGGAGUGAAAGAGAACUUGAAACCGUGUGCUUACAAGUAGUCAGAGCCCGUUAAUGGGUGAUGGCGUGCCUUUUGUAGAAUGAACCGGCGAGUUACGAUUUGAUGCAAGGUUAAGCAGCUAAUGUGGAGCCGUAGCGAAAGCGAGUCUGAAUAGGGCGUUUAGUAUUUGGUCGUAGACCCGAAACCAGGUGAUCUACCCUUGGUCAGGUUGAAGUUCAGGUAACACUGAAUGGAGGACCGAACCGACUUACGUUGAAAAGUGAGCGGAUGAACUGAGGGUAGCGGAGAAAUUCCAAUCGAACUUGGAGAUAGCUGGUUCUCUCCGAAAUAGCUUUAGGGCUAGCCUCAAGUGAUGAUUAUUGGAGGUAGAGCACUGUUUGGACGAGGGGCCCUUCUCGGGUUACCGAAUUCAGACAAACUCCGAAUGCCAAUCAAUUUAACUUGGGAGUCAGAACAUGGGUGAUAAGGUCCGUGUUCGAAAGGGAAACAGCCCAGACCACCAGCUAAGGUCCCAAAAUAAUGGUUAAGUGGAAAAGGAUGUGGCGUUGCCCAGACAACUAGGAUGUUGGCUUAGAAGCAGCCAUCAUUUAAAGAGUGCGUAAUAGCUCACUAGUCGAGUGACACUGCGCCGAAAAUGUACCGGGGCUAAACAUAUUACCGAAGCUGUGGAUUGUCCGUAGGACAAUGGUAGGAGAGCGUUCUAAGGGCGUCGAAGCAUGAUCGCAAGGACAUGUGGAGCGUUAUGAAGUGAGAAUGCCGGUGUGAGUAGCGAAAGACGGGUGAGAAUCCCGUCCACCGAUUGACUAAGGUUUCCAGGAGGAGGCUCGUCCGCUCUGGGUUAGUCGGGUCCUAAGCUGAGGCCGACAGGCGUAGGCGAUGGAUAACAGGUUGAUAUUCCUGUACCACCUAGUAUCGUUUUAAUCGAUGGGGGGACGCAGUAGGAUAGGCGAAGCGUGCUAUUGGAUUGCACGUCCAAGCAGUAAGACUGAGUGUUAGGCAAAUCCGGCACUCAUAAGGUCAAGCUGUGAUGGGGAGAGAAAGUUGUUUGCUCGAGUCGUUGAUUUCACACUGCCAAGAAAAGCCUCUAGAUAGAUAACAGGUGCCCGUACCGCAAACCGACACAGGUAGUCAAGAUGAGAAUUCUAAGGUGAGCGAGCGAACUCUCGUUAAGGAACUCGGCAAAAUGACCCCGUAACUUCGGGAGAAGGGGUGCUCUUUAGGGUUAACGCCCAGAAGAGCCGCAGUGAAGAGCCCAAGCCGACUGUUUAUCAAAAACACAGGUCUCUGCUAAACCGUAAGGUGAUGUAUAGGGGCUGACGCCUGCCCGGUGCUGGAAGGUUAAGAGGAGUAGUUAGCCUCUGCGAAGCUACGAAUCGAAGCCCCAGUAAACGGCGGCCGUAACUAUAACGGUCCUAAGGUAGCGAAAUUCCUUGUCGGGUAAGUUCCGACCCGCACGAAAGGCGUAACGAGUGAGGGGCUGUCUCAGGGAGGGAUCCAGUGAAAUUGUAGUGGAGGUGAAAAUUCCUCCUACCCGCGGCAAGACGGAAAGACCCCGUGGACCUUUACUACAGCUUGGCAUUGUAGGUGGGAUAUCCAUGUGCAGGAUAGGUGGGAGGCUGAGAAGCCCGGGCGCCAGCUCGGGUGGAGCCGACCUUGAGAUACCACCCUUGGAUAUCCUGCCUACUAACCCGCAGGAGUAAUCCUCCUGGGGGACAGUGCCUGGUGGGUAGUUUGACUGGGGCGGUCGCCUCCUAAAGAGUAACGGAGGCUCACAAAGGUUGGCUCAAGGCGGUUGGAAAUCGCCUGAAGAGUGUAAAGGCACAAGCCAGCCUGACUGCGAGACACACAGGUCGAGCAGAGACGAAAGUCGGUCUUAGUGAUCCGGUGGCGCUGAGUGGAAGGGCCAUCGCUCAAAGGAUAAAAGGUACCCCGGGGAUAACAGGCUGAUCUCCCCCGAGAGCUCACAUCGACGGGGAGGUUUGGCACCUCGAUGUCGGCUCAUCGCAUCCUGGGGCUGGAGCAGGUCCCAAGGGUAUGGCUGUUCGCCAUUUAAAGCGGUACGCGAGCUGGGUUCAGAACGUCGUGAGACAGUUCGGUCCCUAUCUGCCGUGGGCGUAGGAAGGUUGAGGAGAGCUGACCCUAGUACGAGAGGACCGGGUUGGACGAGCCACUGGUGUACCAGUUGUCCUGCCAAGGGCAGUGCUGGGUAGCCAAGCUCGGAAGGGAUAACCGCUGAAAGCAUCUAAGCGGGAAGCCCACUCCAAGAUGAGCCUUCCCAUGAGGGUGCAGGAAGACUACCUGCUAGAUAGGCUGGGGGUGUAAGCCCUGCGAGGGGUUGAGCUGACCAGUACUAAUAACCCGAAUGGCUU
RNAcentral lists this ribosomal RNA (2904 nucleotides) under Caminibacter mediatlanticus TB-2. Its description in RNAcentral is "23S ribosomal RNA". It matches the Rfam family "Bacterial large subunit ribosomal RNA". The record is from RNAcentral. Lineage: Bacteria; Pseudomonadati; Campylobacterota; Epsilonproteobacteria; Nautiliales; Nautiliaceae.